AUUGAACGCUGGCGGCAGGCCUAACACAUGCAAGUCGAGCGGGUGAAGGGAGCUUGCUCCUGGAUUCAGCGGCGGACGGGUGAGUAAUGCCUAGGAAUCUGCCUGGUAGUGGGGGAUAACGUCCGGAAACGGGCGCUAAUACCGCAUACGUCCUGAGGGCGAAAGUGGGGGGUCUUCGGACCUCACGCUAUCAGAUGAGCCUAGGUCGGAUUAGCUAGUUGGUGGGGUAAAGGCCUACCAAGGCGACGAUCCGUAACUGGUCUGAGAGGAUGAUCAGUCACACUGGAACUGAGACACGGUCCAGACUCCUACGGGAGGCAGCAGUGGGGAAUAUUGGACAAUGGGCGAAAGCCUGAUCCAGCCAUGCCGCGUGUGUGAAGAAGGUCUUCGGAUUGUAAAGCACUUUAAGUUGGGAGGAAGGGCAGUAAGUUAAUACCUUGCUGUUUUGACGUUACCAACAGAAUAAGCACCGGCUAACUUCGUG
Molecule: ribosomal RNA, 484 nt
Filed under: uncultured bacterium
Lineage: Bacteria
Description: partial 16S ribosomal RNA
Rfam family: Bacterial small subunit ribosomal RNA
Source: RNAcentral